RNAcentral lists this ribosomal RNA (785 nucleotides) under uncultured bacterium. RNAcentral's name for it is "bacterial SSU rRNA". It matches the Rfam family "Bacterial small subunit ribosomal RNA", at positions 556 to 1338 of the family's 1533-position model. The record is from RNAcentral.
GGGCGUAAAGAGCUCGUAGGCGGUUUGUCGCGUCUGUCGUGAAAGUCCGGGGCUUAACCCCGGAUCUGCGGUGGGUACGGGCAGACUAGAGUGCAGUAGGGGAGACUGGAAUUCCUGGUGUAGCGGUGGAAUGCGCAGAUAUCAGGAGGAACACCGAUGGCGAAGGCAGGUCUCUGGGCUGUAACUGACGCUGAGGAGCGAAAGCAUGGGGAGCGAACAGGAUUAGAUACCCUGGUAGUCCAUGCCGUAAACGUUGGGCACUAGGUGUGGGGACCAUUCCACGGUUUCCGCGCCGCAGCUAACGCAUUAAGUGCCCCGCCUGGGGAGUACGGCCGCAAGGCUAAAACUCAAAGGAAUUGACGGGGGCCCGCACAAGCGGCGGAGCAUGCGGAUUAAUUCGAUGCAACGCGAAGAACCUUACCAAGGCUUGACAUGUUCUCGAUCGCCGUAGAAAUACGGUUUCCCCUUUGGGGCGGGAUCACAGGUGGUGCAUGGUUGUCGUCAGCUCGUGUCGUGAGAUGUUGGGUUAAGUCCCGCAACGAGCGCAACCCUCGUUCCAUGUUGCCAGCACGUAGUGGUGGGGACUCAUGGGAGACUGCCGGGGUCAACUCGGAGGAAGGUGGGGACGACGUCAAAUCAUCAUGCCCCUUAUGUCUUGGGCUUCACGCAUGCUACAAUGGCCGGUACAAUGGGUUGCGAUACUGUGAGGUGGAGCUAAUCCCAAAAAGCCGGUCUCAGUUCGGAUUGGGGUCUGCAACUCGACCCCAUGAAGUCGGAGUCGCUAG